AUCCAGCUGAUGAGUCUCAAAUAGGACUAAACGUCUGUCCUAGAU
Molecule: non-coding RNA, 45 nt
Filed under: Schistosoma mansoni
Lineage: Eukaryota; Metazoa; Platyhelminthes; Trematoda; Strigeidida; Schistosomatidae
Source: RNAcentral